Arvicola amphibius (Eurasian water vole) is the source of this 10666-nucleotide RNA transcript. It is a transcript of the gene named dermatan sulfate epimerase like, with no coding region annotated. The transcript is spliced from 4 exons. The record is from RefSeq and is a predicted model, not a curated record. Lineage: Eukaryota; Metazoa; Chordata; Mammalia; Rodentia; Cricetidae.
UUGUUGCCUUUUCUCUCCCUCCGCGGCCCUGGCAACCACUGUUAGCUCGGCGGAGACGGACUUCCCGGCCCUUGUCUCGGGGCGCAGCUGAAGACCGAGCCUCCGAUCGCACACUGCCAGCGCUCUGCCUUCCGCCAGCGGAGCCACCCCUGCGGGCCCCAGCCUUCCUCAAGGGCGUGCGUGUCGGGAUGCGGAGACCUGGCCCUGAGGAGACUCCACACCCAGAGGGGACUGUGGCGCUCGGGAGGCCCCCCGAGCUGAGGAGGCCUCGCCUGGCUGCUGCCUGAGCAGGCCCCGCGUCGCCCGCGGAGCUGUUGGUCUCCGAAGUCCGGCCUUCCGAGAACAACGCUCUCUUGAAGUCCCCACCUUUGCCUUUGUUGGGGCCCAGCGCAGUUUGAAGACUGUCGCCGGCGGCUUGGAGAGAGGAGUGACAUGAAAAAGGAACAGAAAACAGUCUUUAGUUUUGCUGAAAGGGGAAUUUUUUUUCCCAGUUGUUGGUUAUGAUUUGAAGACGAGCACCUAGAGACUGAAGAGCUUAGAUUCUUCUAGAGGUACAGAUACACUUGGGAAAAGGAAGAUUUUGAAAUACUUUAAAAAGAUAUUUGAAAUGAAGGCAGAAAUUUUGAUCAUGUUUGUCAGCCAUGUAGGACUUUGAACAACUAUUUAGAAUAUUUUCCUUCCCAAAAUGGAAGAAGAAACAAUUCACAGACCAAGACUCUGAGAGAAAUAAGAAAUAAUAAAGUUUGCUCACCCUGAGAAGGACAAUAUUUUAUCAUCUUUUCUUUGGUAACAAACAGAAACAUACCUUGUAUGUGUGGUGAGUUAAUAAGGAUGGUUUUUUUAUGCUACAUACUACAAACAGCUUUAUUUAAAUUUUGGGAUUUUUUUUCUCUUUUUCCCGUGAUUUUAUAUGUUAUUUAGAUUAAGUAAAGAAAAUAAAUGCUGGAUUCAUGGUAUUUUCUGACUACACUGCUAUUUUCUGUGCAUUAUGGAAACAUUGGAGGCACUCAUAUUCCUUGAAGUUUUAUUUUAUUGGAUGCAAAACUGCUGGGGACACAGAUAUGAUGUAAGUUUUCCUUUCAUAGCAACGUUCUUUGCUUUGGAUGAGCUGAAUAUCAUCUGGAUUUCACAGCCUAUGAGGUAUAAAAUCUGUUUUAUCUAGAUCUUUAAUAUAUAAUUUGUAAUAACCAGAUGAGAAACAUAUUAAACACUGUGUUGAACAUGUAUGCCUAAGGAAAGAUCUUCCUGAUGGAUCAUGGCUUUAUUGUUUACAGGACAUUUCCUAUUUUUAGCGAUGAUGUUUAGUUUUUCUACUUGCGAAGAGACUAUGAGCAAUUACUCUGGAUGGGCAGUUUUCACAGAUGGUAUACAACAGUUUAAGAAUCAGAAAUUAGAAGAUUUCAGAUCUAACCAAAAACUUCAUCCAAAUUUGUAUUUUGAUGCUGGAGAUGUACAAACAAUGAGACAAAAUUCUCGUACAAGCCAUUUGCAUCUUUUUAGAGCUAUCAGAAGUGCAGUGACAAUUAUGCUGUCUAAUCCAACAUACUACCUACCUCCACCCAAGCAUGCUGAUUUUGCUGCCAAGUGGAAUGAAAUAUAUGGUAAUAAUCUUCCUCCUUUAGCACUGUAUUGUUUAUUAUGUCCAGAAGACAAAGUUGCCUUUGAAUUUAUCUUGGAAUACAUGGACAGGAUGGUUAGCUACAAAGACUGGUUAGUUGAGAAUGCACCAGGAGAUGAGGUUCCAGUUGGCCAUUCUUUAACAGGCUUUGCCACUGCCUUUGACUUUUUGUAUAAUCUGUUAGGUAAUCAGCGAAAACAAAAAUACCUAGAAAAAAUACGGAUUGUUACUGAGGAAAUGUAUGAAUAUUCAAAGAUUCGCUCAUGGGGCAAACAACUUCUUCAUAACCACCAAGCUACAAAUAUGAUAGCAUUGCUCAUAGGUGCAUUGGUUACUGGAGUAGAUAAAGGAUCUAAAACACAUAUAUGGAAGCAAGAUGUUGUUGAUGUUAUGGAAAAAACUAUGUUUCUCUUGAAUCAUAUUGUUGAUGGCUCUUUGGAUGAAGGUGUAGCCUAUGGAAGCUAUACCUCAAAAUCACUUACACAGUAUGUUUUCUUGGCACAACGCCAUUUUAACAUCAACAACUUGGAUAAUAACUGGUUAAAAAUGCACUUUUGGUUUUAUUAUGCUACACUUUUACCAGGCUAUCAAAGAACUAUAGGUGUAGCAGAUUCCAAUUAUAAUUGGUUUUAUGGUCCAGAGAGCCAGCUAGUGUUCUUGGAUAAGUUCAUUUUAAGAAAUGGAGCUGGAAAUUGGUUAGCUCAGCAAAUUAGAAAGCAUCGACCUAAGGAUGGACCAAUGGUUCCUUCCACUUCCCAAAGGUGGAGUACUCUUCAUACUGAAUACAUCUGGUAUGAUCCAAAGCUUAUCCCACAGCCUCCUGUUGACUUUGGCACAGCUAAAAUGCACACAUUUCCUAACUGGGGUGUUGUGACAUAUGGGGCUGGACUGCCAAGUACACAGGCCAAUACCUUUGUGUCCUUUAAAUCUGGGAAACUGGGAGGACGAGCUGUGUAUGACAUAGUUCACUUUCAGCCGUAUUCCUGGAUUGAUGGAUGGAGAAGCUUUAACCCAGGACAUGAACAUCCAGAUCAAAAUUCAUUUACUUUUGCCCCCAAUGGACAAGUAUUUGUUUCUGAGGCUCUUUAUGGACCAAAGUUAAGCCACCUUAACAAUGUGUUGGUAUUUGCACCAUCACCAUCAAGCCAGUGUAAUAAACCUUGGGAAGGUCAGCUGGGAGAAUGUGCACAGUGGCUCAAAUGGACUGGUGAAGAGGUUGGUGAUGCAGCUGGGGAAGUUAUUACUGCUUCACAACAUGGAGAAAUGAUGUUUGUAAGUGGGGAAGCAGUGGCUGCUUAUUCUUCAGCAAUGAGACUAAAAAGUGUCUAUCGUGCUUUACUUCUCUUAAAUUCUCAAACUCUACUUGUUGUUGACCACAUUGAAAGGCAGGAAACAUCCCCAAUAAAUUCUGUCAGUGCCUUCUUUCAUAAUUUGGAUAUUGAUUUUAAAUACAUCCCAUACAGGUUUAUGAAUAGGUAUAAUGGUGCCAUGAUGGAUGUGUGGGAUGCACACUAUAAAAUGUUUUGGUUUGAUCAUCAUGGUAACACUCCUGUGGCUAAUAUACAGGAAGCAGAACAAGCUGCUGAGUUUAAGAAAAGGUGGACUCAGUUUGUUAAUGUUACAUUUCAUAUGGAAUCCACAAUCACAAGAAUUGCUUAUGUAUUUUAUGGUCCAUAUAUAAAUGUUUCUAGCUGCAAAUUUAUUGACAGUUCUAGUUCUGGACUUCAGAUUUCUCUAAAUGUCAAUAAUACCGAACAUAGUGUUUCUGUUAUAACUGACUAUCAAAAUCUGAAAAGGAGAUUUGAUUACCUGGGAUUUGGAGGUUUUGCCAGUGUGGCUAAUCAAGGCCAAAUAACCCGAUUUGGUUUAGGGACUCAAGCAAUAGUAAACCCUAUAAGACAUGAUAAAGUUAUUUUCCAUUUUGGAUUUAAAUUUAAUAUAGUAGUUGGAUUCAUUUUGUGUAUUUGUUUGGUUAUUUUAACUUUUCAGUGGCGGUUCUACUUUUCUUUUAGAAAGUUAAUGCGCUGUGUAUUAAUACUUGUUAUUGCUUUGUGGUUUAUUGAGUUUCUGGAUGUGUGGAGCACUUGUACUCAGCCGAUUUGUGCAAAAUGGACAAGGGCUGAAACCAAGACAAAUGAGAAGACCAUAAUCUCUGAAGGGAAGCAUGUAGAUCUGCCUGAUGUUGUUAUUACUUCACUCCCUGGUUCAGGAGCUGAAAUUCUGAAACAAGUUUUUUUCAACAGUAGUGAUUUUCUCUACAUCAGAAUACCUACAGCCUACAUUGAUAUUCCUGAAACUGAAUUUGAAAUUGACUCAUUUGUAGAUGCUUGUGAAUGGAAAGUAUCAGAUAUCCGCACUGGGCAUUUUCAUCUUCUUCGAGGGUGGCUGCUGUCUUUGGUCCAGGACACAAAAUUUCAUUUGCAAAAUAUUCAUCUUCGUGAAACAGGUAGGAAUAAACUUGCUCAAUAUUUUGCAGCUAAUAAGGACAAAAAACAAAAAUUGAAAAGGAGAGAGUCUUUGCCGGAACAAAGAAGUAAAAUGAAAGGAGCUUUUGAUAGAGAUACUGAAUAUAUUAGAUCCUUGAGGAGACACCUAGUUUAUUACCCAAGUGCUCGUCCUGUGCUCAGUUUAAGUAGUGGAAGCUGGACAUUGAAGCUUCGUUUUUUUCAGGAAGUUUUAGGAACUUCAAUGCGGGCUUUGUACAUAGUACGAGACCCUCGAGCCUGGAUCUAUUCAAUGCUAUAUGGUAGUAAACCAAGUCUUUAUUCUUUGAAAAAUGUACCAGACCACUUAGCAAAAUUGUUUAAAAUAGAGGAAGGUAAAAGCAAAUGUAACUUAAAUUCAGGCUAUGCUUUUGAGUAUGAAUCACUGAAGAAAGAAUUAGAAACAUCCCAGUCAAAUACUGUCUCUUUACUAUCUCAUUUGUGGCUAGCAAACACUGCAGCAGCUUUGAGAAUAAAUACAGAUUUGCUGCCUACCAAUUACCAGCUGGUGAAGUUUGAAGAUAUUGUUCAAUUUCCUCAGAAGACUACAGAAAGAAUUUUUGCAUUCCUUGGAAUUCCUUUGUCUCCUUCUAGUUUAAACCAAAUACUGUUUGCCACUUCCACAAACCUUUUUUAUCUUCCUUUUGAGGGGGAAAUAUCUCCAUCUAAUACUAAUAUUUGGAAACAAAACUUGCCUAGAGAUGAAAUUAAAAUAAUUGAAAAUAUCUGCUGGACACUGAUGGAUCGUCUAGGAUAUCCAAAAUUUAUGGACUAAAUGCUGCAGGUCAGCAAAAAUUUGCACUAAUAUAUCCCAACCUACUUUGUGGCUAUUAACUAGAUAAUUUUGUUUAUUCUUGUACAAGUGUGUAUGUAUGUGUGGGGAGAGUGUGUGUGUUCAGUCUGUUAUUUGCACAGAAAGAUACUUUAAAAAAUAAGCAGCAUAUUUGGCCUCGUAGGAUUUAUUUUUAUGUUACCACUUUCCUUGCCUUGAUUUCUGAAUUUUUUUCUGCUAAAAUGUUUGUGGUACAAAAGUAUAUAUUAUGGUAUCUGGGAAGAUAGGAAGAUUUUAAUGGACUUUAACUUACCUUCUUUGAUAACUGUGCUAAUCUGUCUUGGCACCUAAGACACUAUGAAAGGCCUUGCAAUUGCUGCUUUGCCCAGUCAUCUCUUGCUCUUAAAAAUAGGUUCGUUAUCUUUUGAAAAGGUCUUCUAACACAAAGAAAAAAAUGAAAUAAAAAAAUGAAUUUCUUGUACUUUGUAUAAUGUUCUCUGAAAUCACUGGGGAAAUGAUAAAGAUUUCUAUUAGAACUUUCAGAAAAUAUAGACAAAGAUAUAGACUAUAAGCUUUUUUUUCUUUUCUUACUCAAGAAAUAAGAUUGUGAACAGAGCAUGUUGAAAUUCAGUGUGUUAUUUUGGAAAUGCUCUCUUCAAAAGCUUUUAUUUGCCUGCCUGAAACUAUCACUCUUCACCGUCAUACCAUGACCACCUUAUCUAGCCUUUCUGUCAUUUUCAAAAAACAGGUAGUUGUUAGUAACUACAAAACAGCUUAGUGAUAAAGCUGUUCCAACAGCCCCUUCCCCUGAUGAUUAAUUUUGUAUUAAAGACUAACACAGACUUAAAAUCAAAUUUAGUUUUGUGGUGUUACCACUCUGACUCAAAGAAAAGAGGAGAAGUCUUCUGACAGCGGUGGUCAUUCACUGUUGUUGCAGGUGGAGUGGGUGGUGCUGGCAUGGCUGGGUGCUAGAAACAGAAUUAGAAAGCCUUGUCCUGUAUCCUCUGAAUUUAUAGGCUGCCAGUGUCUGCAAAAUUUGAAGCCAAUUGAGAGAUGAUGUUAGAGGCAUCUGUUCCCUUUACCAUCUGCAUCUUAUAAAUGUAGCGAACAUAAAAUGUUCACUCAUUUUGCUUGGUAGUUUCUGAAUCAAAAAUGCUAUGUUAUUAUAGGCCAGUGGGAUAAUUACAAUGUGCUACAUGAACAUUACCAGCAUUGGGAUUUGGUGAGAGUCUAUGCAGAUUGCAGUUUUCUUCCUGAUGUUUCAAACUAGUUUCCUCAAGUUCUCUAACAUUUGGAUUCUGUCACUCUGAUCUAGAUAAAAGCAGUUCUUUCUCAGUAGUUUGUUGUUUUAUUUAAAUGAUAAAAUUUUAUUGGAGUGAUAAAGCUGUACAUAUGUUACUUUUUAGCUGAAUCUAACUUAGCUGUUAUUUCUUUUCUUCUAUUAUGGCAUGAGUGAAACUGUUACAUGUCCCUUACAUUUGUUUUUGCUCCACAGGACUCAUAAUUUUCCCUUCAUAUUAAAAUGAAUAAAAAUCAAUAUAGAUUGAAGACUCAAAUCUACAUUUAUAUUUUGAAGGAGGAUUACUCUUAUCUCAGGUUUUUCAGCAAAUGUCCAUGUAAAAUCACUACAUGGAUGAUAACACUAUUUCCAUUAUUGGUCAGAGUCUCCCUGCUAUUAGUUUUCAGAAUAUGAUCUUAAGUCAGAGCAAGUAGAAAAGCACUGGGGUGGAAAAGCAUUACAUCAUACUAAGGUGAGAAUUAGAAAUGGGUACAGGCACAGAAAAAACAGUGCAAGCUACUUCUGCAUAUUGUACAGAAAUGCACCCUUGUGCAGAAGGUGGUAAGUAGAUUAUGUGGAGGAAAACAGGAAGAAGAGAUUUAGAAAAUAGACUGAGUGAUUUUUGAGAAGGGAUAUGGGAAUGUUUUACUGAUAAAUCAUAGUGGAACAUAGCUUUGAACUCCACAGAGCAAUUUAGAGCUAAUCAUCCUCACCUCAGAGAAAAUGUAAGACAUCAGCCAUUUUCAUAGUGAUUUCCAUAAUGGAAGUUUGAAGAUAACUCUGAAGAUCCCCUCAGAAGAGUAUUGUGUGGGGGAAAGGAAUCCACUGAAUUUGCCUGCUUAUGCUAAUGCCUAAGACCUGCUGCCUUACAAUUUGAGUACUUAAGAAGCAGAACCCAUUGCACCACUGAUACUUAGUUUGUGAUGUGCAUCUACAGGGGUUGCAUGUUGUUUGGAAAUCAACUCUUUUCUCAGAAAAAUAUUAUGCACUUCUAUAGAACCGGAAUUAGCAGCCCAAACUCUCCUCUCAAGGAGAUGCUUGAUACACAAUCCUUUGGCCACUGGGUGCUGAUUCCAUAAUGGGGUAGCUCACAUGAUGCCUAUUUAGCUAAAGAAAUGCAUGGAAUCUGAUUUCAAUAUAGAGUGGUCUUCAGAUGGCAUAUAUUUCCUAUAUUUUGAUAUAUAAGAUUUUCAUUAUUUUUAUUAUAUUGUAUGUUAAGUUAUGAUUAUUAGUUUCUUUAAUAUAGUAGCCCUAUUAAUUAUUUUUCUAUUAUUUUGAUAAGCUUAUAAUAAAGAUAAUUUUAGUACUUGGAAUGGUUUUGGAAUUCAACUUAAUGGUUCUGUAUAGUCAAUGGUUAGGAAGUAUCAUUUAUUCAUGGAAAAACAUAUGUGUGGGUGUAGUGUGCUCUAUGUAUUCCUUAAGAUAGUUCUAUAGGCCAAGUCACUUUAGUCCUGACUCCUAGGACAAUUUUUAAAUUGUGUAUAUUAUUAUAAACACAUAUUUACUCACUAAUAUGUGUGUUUACAUUUCCAUGAGAUAAAAAAUCUUGAGACAGUAUGAAAAGCUAUAUCUAGCAACAUUAUAAUCAAAUAGAUGUUCACCCAUCAAACUUUAAAGAAAAAUAUUGUUAGAGAGAAAAAGAGCCUGUCCACAUAUAUUUGUUUUCUAAUUAUGUUGUUAAAAAUACUCAAUGGACUUUGCCUGUGUUUCCUUGUAUUUUCAUAAAGUUUUCCUUCAUAUAUUUGUAUUUCUGUUGAUUUACUUUUAUUUUCUUUUCAUUUCUAUUAGUUAAAAUCAGGGAUGAAAUGGCUGAAUUGAACGUUUAUGUGUAUUUUUAACAUCCAGUUUAAUUAGUUUUGACCUAUGGCCACACAUUCUCAGAGACAAUUCUUAUUAAACAGAACACAGUAAUUUAAGUGGCCACUCUUUUUGCUUUAGACUUAGGAAAGUGAUGAAAGCCAAUCUCUUUUCCUUUGGAAGAAUCCUGAUGGCUCAGAGGCAAUAAAUUAUUUUAUCUGUUUAAAAAAAGGGCAGGCAACAGCUCCAUCAAUCCCUCUUACUCAGUCCCUUAUGGAAUACAGGAUGCCAGGGAAGUCAUCAGAUUCGCAUGACUAUUCUUUGCACACAAAGGCUCUUUUUCUCUCUAAGAAUAUUUUUCUUUAAAGUUUGAUGGGUCUACAUUUAUUUGAUUAUAAUGUUGCUAGAUAUAGCUUUUCAUACUGUCUCAAGAUUUUUUAUCUCAUGGAAAUGUAAACACACAUAUUAGUGAGUAAAUAUGUUUGUGCAUGUGCACAUAUGUAAGCAUAUGAAUGGAGGCAAGAGCUCAGACUUAUGUGUCAUUAUUAUUCAGAAUCCAUAUUCCCUAUUUUUUGAAACCCAGUCUAUCUUUUAACACCUGAAACUAGCCUGUUUGGCCAGAUUGGUUGACCAGUGUGCUUAAGGGAUUUUCAUGACUCUACAUCAUACUGGCUAGGAUUACAGGUGCAUACUUGAUUUUUUAUAUGGAUGCUGGGGAUUGAAGUCAGAUCCUCAUGGUAACUGCAUAAACACAUUAUCUACAGAGUUAACUCCCCGAGAGAAUUUAAAUUUUUUCUACUUCAUGUAUUGGUAAAUUAUUACAUCUGUUGAAUGCAUGCUUUUAAUAUAAUUGGGGACAUUUUUGUCCACUAAAUUUCCUCUGUAUGUUUUCUUUUAUUCUUCUAGAAUUAAAUUUGCAUGAUGUUAGUCUUUUGUUUGAAAGGAUAAAUUUGCCAAGCUCAAGCUCCAAAGUCUACAUACUCUGUUGUUUACAGCGAUUGAAAAUAAUUAAAAUCUAUAGCCCUGUCUGGUGUUUGGGAUCACUAUCAUGGUUUCAGAAUCUAACAGAAAUCUUCUCAGAUUCUGUUUCCACCCCCCUCUCUUUCUCUCUCUCAGUAUUUUCCUUUUCCUCCAUUUCUAGUUCUCUUACUUCAGUGGAAGGCUUGAUAUAUGGCUUUAAGUUUCCUCAAAAAGUAAAACAUAGAUUCCUUGUCAACUUAUAGUGGCUGUGUACAACAAACUUACUGGCUGAGGCAUUUUCAGACAAAAUGUAUUUAUUUAUUAAAGUUAUUAUAAAAGUGAACAGAAUUGUCUUAACUUUUCCAUUUAUGUAUUUUUGGAGUAUGUAUUAAUUUGUAUACUGUACCAUCUAAUUAGGAGUCUUCAGUCUACUAGAUAAUAAAUACAGUAAAAUCUUUAAAAAUGAAGAAGUAUAGAGUUGAAUGGGAUCUUCUUACCUUGUCUGGGUAGGUAAAAAAUUCUACCAAUAGCCAAGUGUUUUUUUUUAUUGUCAUAUAAUUAAUGGCAUAUGAUAGUAACAAAAAGUUCUGAAAUUACUUCAGUGCUUAUUAUUAAACAAAGACACAUAAUACCCAAGUGAUCGUGCAUGUAAUUUAUUUUACAUUAUCUUAUACUACAAAUAUAUUUAAAUCCAAAUAUUUCAUGAACAUCAGAAUUUCUGUAAAGUAAUGGGCACGUAUUAUGAAUGUAAGGCUGGAAAUCUACUAUCCAUAGCUUUAAACUUGAUUGGAAAAAUUGUGGUUUCUAUCAAGAUUUAUUCAUACUAGCUACAAAGUAGAGAAAAUAUUUCUUUUCCAUCAUUUCUCCUGUUUCUUGAAAUGUCAAGGUUUUCUUACUAGCAGCACCCUCUGGAUGUUAUUCAGCAGCUUUUCUUUUGACUGCACUGCGAUGAUACUUCAGGAACCUUGAAAAGAAACUCAGAUCCCAGGAUCCAAUUUCAAACAGUCUUUUACAGUACAGAAAAAGAAAAUCUACAGAUUAAAGACAAGUGGAAAUCUCUCAAAUGGUUUGGGGAGGGUUUGGUAUGCUAAUGAACUCUUUAUACCAUUUAUAGGCCACUAGGCAUUGAGAAUUGAGACUCAUACACCUUCAAAUAGAUUCCAGUUAAACAAGUAUCCUUAAAGUAUACACACGUUCAGUAAAGAUCUGGCUUAAUACUAAAUGAAACAGAAACAAUCCCAGGUCUUUCUUAACUAUAUGACUUACAUUUUAUGUUUUUCUUGGUCAUUAAUAGAAAUAAGAAUAACACCCUACAAAUAAUUAAAUAAUAGAACUACUUAGUAUGUAUUCUUUCCCAAACAGAUUAUUAUUGAAUAGUUAAUAUUCUGCCUGGAGCAGUACCAUAAUGGUACACGACUUUAAUGGUGGUAUAUGACUUCAACCCCAGCAUUCAGAAGACAGAGGCAGGCAGAUGUCUGUGAGUUCAAGGCCUCCCUGGUCUACAAGAACUAGUUGCAAAGCAGGUUCCAAACCUACAGAGAAACCCUGUCUUAAAAAACCAAAAACCAAACAAAAACAAAAAAAAAUCUGCCCAAAUUUUCAAUAAAGGCAAGUUUUUCUUAGCAUUUUUAUUUUAAUUAUGGCUUGUAAUCACUACAACACUGUGGUCAUAAGACAUUGUGAUUCUAUAAUGUAUUUUGGAAAUAAUUAUAUGGGAGUCUCUUAAAAACCAAAGUAAAAAAUUUCAGACAAUGACA